RNAcentral lists this ribosomal RNA (435 nucleotides) under uncultured bacterium. RNAcentral's name for it is "bacterial SSU rRNA". It matches the Rfam family "Bacterial small subunit ribosomal RNA", at positions 958 to 1392 of the family's 1533-position model. The record is from RNAcentral.
AACGCGAAGAACCUUACCAGGCCUUGACAUCCCGUGACCGGCACAGAGAUGUGUUUUUCCCUUGGGGGACGCGGAGACAGGUGCUGCAUGGCUGUCGUCAGCUCGUGUCGUGAGAUGUUGGGUUAAGUCCCGCAACGAGCGCAACCCUCCCUUUUAGUUGCCAUCAUUCAGUUGGGCACUCAAGGGGGACUGCCGGGAACAAGCGGGAGGAAGGUGGGGAGGACGUAAAGUCCUCAUGCCCUUUACGGCGGGGGUUACACACUUGCUACAAUGGGGGUGACACAGAGGACAGAAACCUGGCGACAGGUAGCCAAUCUCCAAAAACCCUCUCAGUUCGGAUUGCAGUCUGCAACUCGAGUCCAUGAAGUGGGAAUCGCUAGUAAUCGCAGAACAACAAGCUGCGGUGAAUAAAUUUCCCGGGUCUUGUACACACCG